RNAcentral lists this ribosomal RNA (1472 nucleotides) under uncultured bacterium. RNAcentral's name for it is "16S ribosomal RNA". It matches the Rfam family "Bacterial small subunit ribosomal RNA". The record is from RNAcentral.
CUAAGACAUGCAACGUCGCACGGGCGUAGCAAUACGUCAGUGGCGAACGGGUGAGUAAUGUAUCGCUAACGUACCCCCGGACUCCGGGAUAGCCGGCCGAAAGGCCGGGUAAUACCGGAUGACACCCCCCUGUCGCAUGGCGGGGGGCUCAAAGGUCCGCCGGUCUGGGAGCGGGCGAUAUCGUAUCAGCUAGUUGGCGGGGUAACGGCCCACCAAGGCGACGACGCGUAGCUGGUCUGAGAGGACGGCCAGCCACAUCGGGACUGAGACACUGCCCGGACUCCUACGGGGGGCUGCAGUAACGAAUCUUCCGCAAUGCACGAAAGUGUGACGGAGCGACGCCGCGUGUGGGACGAAGUCCUUCGGGAUGUAAACCACUGUCAGGGGAAAGAAAGUUCUGAUCUACCCCAGAGGAAGGCACGGUUAACUCUGUGCCAGCAGCCGCGGUAAGACAGAGGUGCCAAGCGUUAGGCGGAAUCACUGGGCUUAAAGCGUGUGUAGGCGGGUCGUUAAGUACCUUGUGAAAUCCCACGGCUCAACCGUGGAACUGCUGGGUUAUACUGGCGGUCUUGAGCCACUUAAGGGGCUGUCGGAACAGACGGUGGAGCGGUGAAAUGCGUAAUUCGUCUGGAACGCCAACGGUGAAAACAGACAAGCUGGGAAGUGUGCUGACGCUGAGACACGAAAAGCCAGGGGAGCGAAACGGGAAUUAAAUACCCCGGUAUUCCUACCGUAAACCAAUUGUUCAAUUAGAUCGUGGUCCCUCUGACGGGGUUCACGGUCGAAGCAAAAGUGUAAUUCGACCGCCUGGGAAGUACGGUCGCAAGGCUAAAANUCAAAAGGAAUUGACGGGGGCUCACACAACGGUGGAGCAUGUGGUUUCAAUUCGAAGCAACGCGCAGAACCUACCUGGGCUUGACAUGCCAGGAUUACCCCGGCGAAAGCCGGGUACGCCCCGCAAGGGGUGGAACUGGCACAGGUGCUGCAUGGCUGUCGUCAGCUCGUGCUNUGAAGUGUUGCGUUAAGUCGCUUAACGAGCGAAACCUUUGCCCUUAGUUACCAGCGGGUUAAGCCGGGGACUCUAAGGGGACUGCCGGUGUCAAACCGGAGGAAGGUGGAGAUGACGUCAAGUCCUCAUGGCCUUUAUGCCCAGGGCCACACACGUGCUACAAUGGGGUGCACAAAGCGAACCUAAAGCGCGAGCUCAUGGAAAUCGCAGAAAUCACCCCCCAGUUCAGAUCGGAGGCUGCAACUCGCCUCCGUGAAGUUGGAAUCGCUAGUAAUCGCGGAUCAGCUACGCCGCGGUGAAUGUGUUCCUGAGCCUUGUACACACCGCCCGUCAAGUCAUGGGAGCCGGGAAUAGCUCGAAGUCGCCCCCGACACAUGGGGUGCANUAAGCUAGGCUCGGUGACUGAGGACUAAGUCGUAACAAGGUAGCCGUACGGGGAACCUNCGGCUGGAUCUACCUCCUU